RNAcentral lists this ribosomal RNA (587 nucleotides) under Listeria monocytogenes. RNAcentral's name for it is "bacterial SSU rRNA". It matches the Rfam family "Bacterial small subunit ribosomal RNA", at positions 200 to 774 of the family's 1533-position model. Lineage: Bacteria; Bacillati; Bacillota; Bacilli; Caryophanales; Listeriaceae. The record is from RNAcentral.
UUGAAAGAUGGUUUCGGCUAUCGCUUACAGAUGGGCCCGCGGUGCAUUAGCUAGUUGGUAGGGUAAUGGCCUACCAAGGCAACGAUGCAUAGCCGACCUGAGAGGGUGAUCGGCCACACUGGGACUGAGACACGGCCCAGACUCCUACGGGAGGCAGCAGUAGGGAAUCUUCCGCAAUGGACGAAAGUCUGACGGAGCAACGCCGCGUGUAUGAAGAAGGUUUUCGGAUCGUAAAGUACUGUUGUUAGAGAAGAACAAGGAUAAGAGUAACUGCUUGUCCCUUGACGGUAUCUAACCAGAAAGCCACGGCUAACUACGUGCCAGCAGCCGCGGUAAUACGUAGGUGGCAAGCGUUGUCCGGAUUUAUUGGGCGUAAAGCGCGCGCAGGCGGUCUUUUAAGUCUGAUGUGAAAGCCCCCGGCUUAACCGGGGAGGGUCAUUGGAAACUGGAAGACUGGAGUGCAGAAGAGGAGAGUGGAAUUCCACGUGUAGCGGUGAAAUGCGUAGAUAUGUGGAGGAACACCAGUGGCGAAGGCGACUCUCUGGUCUGUAACUGACGCUGAGGCGCGAAAGCGUGGGGAGCAAACA